GACGAACGCUGGCGGCGUGCCUAAUACAUGCAAGUAGAACGCACAGUUUAUACCGUAGCUUGCUACACCAUAGACUGUGAGUUGCGAACGGGUGAGUAACGCGUAGGUAACCUGCCUGGUAGCGGGGGAUAACUAUUGGAAACGAUAGCUAAUACCGCAUAAUAUUGAUUAUUGCAUGAUAAUUGAUUGAAAGAUGCUAUUGCAUCACUACCAGAUGGACCUGCGUUGUAUUAGCUAGUAGGUGAGGUAACGGCUCACCUAGGCGACGAUACAUAGCCGACCUGAGAGGGUGAUCGGCCACACUGGGACUGGGACACGGCCCAGACUCCUACGGGAGGCAGCAGUAGGGAAUCUUCGGCAAUGGACGAAAGUCCGACCGAGCAACGCCGCGUGAGUGAAGAAGGUUUUCGGAUCGUAAAGCUCUGUUGUAAGAGAAGAACGGGUGUGAGAGUGGAAAGUUCACACUGUGACGGUAUCUUACCAGAAAGGGACGGCUAACUACGUG
This 505-nucleotide ribosomal RNA is filed under the name uncultured bacterium. Its description in RNAcentral is "partial 16S ribosomal RNA". It matches the Rfam family "Bacterial small subunit ribosomal RNA", at positions 28 to 507 of the family's 1533-position model. The record is from RNAcentral.